CAAAAAGCUUAGAACAGGACGAGUAACCGCCUGAACGGCGACAGAGAGUGGGAGGCACCGAUUGAGAUCUCCCUCGACCGAAAAGCGGCGAAAACCACCUGGGAGCUGGCUUCGGAACGACUGAACAAGUAUGAAGCCCCGGUCGCCCCCGUUAACGGCAAACUCGAGCGUGACGAAAACGAUGAUUCGUUGCGAAAAUUGGGUGGAACCGCGUGAGAAAGGCCUCUCGCCCCAGUG
RNAcentral lists this non-coding RNA (237 nucleotides) under Chloroflexota bacterium. RNAcentral's name for it is "Chloroflexi bacterium T-box sequence". It matches the Rfam family "T-box leader". From Rfam's summary of the family: Uncharged tRNA acts as the effector for transcription antitermination of genes in the T-box leader family. T-boxes are found upstream of many aminoacyl-tRNA synthetase genes and some amino acid biosynthetic genes usually in Gram-positive bacteria. The anticodon of a specific tRNA base pairs to a specifier sequence within the T-box motif, and the NCCA acceptor tail of the tRNA base pairs to a conserved bulge in the T-box antiterminator hairpin. Lineage: Bacteria; Bacillati; Chloroflexota. The record is from RNAcentral.